This 199-nucleotide unclassified non-coding RNA is filed under the name uncultured fungus. Its description in RNAcentral is "sequence contains ITS1". The record is from RNAcentral. Lineage: Eukaryota; Fungi.
GUAAUUUUUUUUUUCUCAAGAUACUCAGAAUACUAGUAGUAUAUAGACUUUUUGCUUGCUUGCCUGGCGGCCACCUGUAGUGAACUGCUCCCCCAGAGCAGACACGCCAGAGCAAGGUUUAGGUAUAUUCACAGUGGUUUAAAAGUCUUCCCGAAGAAGUCUUUUUUUAAUGAUCCCUCCGCUGGUUCACCAACGGAGA